GACGAACGCUGGCGGCGUGCCUAAUACAUGCAAGUCGAACGAGAGCGACCGGUGCUUGCACUGGUCAAUCUAGUGGCGAACGGGUGAGUAACACGUGGGUAACCUGCCCAUCAGUGGGGGAUAACAUCCGGAAACGGAUGCUAAAACCGCAUAGGUCUUCGAACCGCAUGGUUUGAAGAGGAAAAGAGGCGCAAGCUUCUGCUGAUGGAUGGACCCGCGGUGCAUUAGCUAGUUGGUGAGGUAACGGCUCACCAAGGCCGUGAUGCAUAGCCGACCUGAGAGGGUGAUCGGCCACAUUGGGACUGAGACACGGCCCAAACUCCUACGGGAGGCAGCAGUAGGGAAUCUUCCGCAAUGGACGCAAGUCUGACGGAGCAACGCCGCGUGAGUGAAGAAGGUUUUCGGAUCGUAAAACUCUGUUGUUAGAGAAGAACAAGUGCUAGAGUAACUGUUAGCGCCUUGACGGUAUCUAACCAGAAAGCCACGGCUAACUACGUG
RNAcentral lists this ribosomal RNA (498 nucleotides) under uncultured bacterium. Its description in RNAcentral is "partial 16S ribosomal RNA". It matches the Rfam family "Bacterial small subunit ribosomal RNA", at positions 28 to 507 of the family's 1533-position model. The record is from RNAcentral.